Bombus terrestris (buff-tailed bumblebee) is the source of this 1300-nucleotide long non-coding RNA. RefSeq lists it as uncharacterized. The transcript has 2 exons. Lineage: Eukaryota; Metazoa; Arthropoda; Insecta; Hymenoptera; Apidae. The record is from RefSeq and is a predicted model, not a curated record.
UACGAUUGAUGAAACAACCGGACCGAUUGAAGAUUCAACAAGCGCGACGAUGAUCGAGAACAGAUGCGAACGAUAGAUCCGAAAGAGUAAACUACACGAAAGGAGAUCUCGAGAGAUACAGUGGCUCGCGAAAGUGUCUCAGCUCUUGUGGAAACUCUCUAUGAAUUAUAGACGCGUUAUGAAAGAUUCUGAAAUUUCCCUGACGCUCUAACAAAAUCAUGAUCGUUUGGUGAAGUUUCAAAGGAAUCUGAAAGUGAAUAUGAAAGUUGCUUCACAAAGAUCACCAAAAUAUCGUAUUUGAGAAGGUCAAUUUUAAUCGUUACAUUGAUAAACCACGGUAUUUAACGAGACUAUAUAUUUGCAAUAAAAGUAUCUUGCAGUUUCUAGGGACAUUUUCAGAUUGGUUUCGACGUAAUCGUGACACUGGUAUUUCGUUAUAAUGAUAACGAAAUUUCAAAAUGAUCCGCAUAAUACACGCAACAUAGGCGUAACACGUGAUACAUUCUAAUACACAAGCAAAUACUUGGACGUUGACGAGCCAUCGUCGGUAUACGAUCUUUCAAGGCCUAACUUUAAAGAAGAUGAACCGAAACGAUCUUAACGGCUUCGACGUGCACGUGCAGUGACUGUCCAGAUUACAACCUUACCGCUAUAUUUAAAUGUGAUCACUAUAUUUGUAUAUCUGUAUGUAUGUGUGCAUUUCCUCUCUUUUUAUACAAUUAUUUAUUUGUAUUAAGAAUUAUGUAUGUAAAAUAUACAUAUAUAGAUAGAUAGAUAUGAGGUUGUUAAUAGUAAAUAUCUGAUUCUUCUUAUUUCAGCUUUCUUCUCGCUUUCUUCUCUUAGUGUGUCUACCAAUCUCUCUCUUCCUCUAGUGGUUUAUAUACCGUGUCUAUUUUCGGUUGGAAUUCAACGCGAGAUUUUGCGGUAGGCACCGUAUUAUGUAUCGUUCCCAACAAAAGUUCGUCAGUAAUCAAGAACCGAUAUGUGCAAACGGACGCUGUCACCGUUUGUAAAAUGAUUAUGAUUUAAUUGUAAAUAUGAUAUAUUUAUCAUUAACAUAUUAAGCCGUUGGGUGUAGAAAUUAAAAAUGAGUCGUACGCAAUUAUUUGUACACAUUUAUUUUAUUAACAGCAAAAACAUUUGUAUAUACAAGCAUGUCCAACAAGUGUUAUUCUUAAUAAUAUAAUAAAUUCCAUUAAUGCUACUGCAAAUUAUGAUACAAUACAUACACUUGAGAUACGUAACUUGAGAUACGUAACUUGAGAUUCGUUAAAUUUUAUUAUUUUACUGCUUCUCUACU